GAACUCUUCAGAAAGCAUGGAGAUGGCAUCGUUUUAAUUUACUACGGCUUACAAUUCCUUCCUUGUCUCUAUUUACCGAGUUUAUGCAGCGAAACAACUUGUACAAAUAAUCAGCAAUAAGGUAUCAAGAGCUGCCAGUUUCUAACACCAUAAAUACUUUGUCAAGAGAAUGAUCUGAUCCUCAAGACAUGCGAGCCAAAAUCGGCUAUAAAAACUACGGUCAACUAUACGACCGCUGCAGCUAAAAAGACUAAUUUAGAACGAGGAUGUCACGCCAUGCAUUAUAUAUCGUAAUGUUUAUAAAGAGAAGUCUUUUAAACACGAGACAAAGACAUCGAAACACCAGCCAACAACAGGUGGAGACAAAACAGGUGGGAAAGUCUUUUAAAGCCACUCCUACGUAACCAAAAAAACUGUAUGCCACGUGUCUACAAAUAAAGGAUCAAACGKUCUAGAAUGCAUCGAAAAUCCACGAGAYGGAUCAAACCUUCGAAUUCAUAAUUUUCGUUGUUAAAGGACUGUUAAAAAGAAUAAUCACAUYCUCAAAUAGAAGAUAUGGCCUUUGAACUCUCGUAACUGUAUAAAAGAUGAUCAGUAUUCUGAAAUAUUUUCUUGCUCUUAGGAAAUGACAUUAGGCUCGCAAUUUCGUUAUCGAACAAAUGAUCACUGAUAGUUUUCUAAAUCUACUACUCCAAGUCAAUAUAAAAAUUGGAUAUUAGU
Long non-coding RNA from Exaiptasia diaphana, 720 nucleotides. RefSeq lists it as uncharacterized. The transcript is spliced from 2 exons. The record is from RefSeq and is a predicted model, not a curated record. NCBI's taxonomy places the organism in Eukaryota, Metazoa, Cnidaria, Anthozoa, Actiniaria, Aiptasiidae.